RNAcentral lists this long non-coding RNA (4134 nucleotides) under Homo sapiens (human). Its description in RNAcentral is "HSALNT0031027". Lineage: Eukaryota; Metazoa; Chordata; Mammalia; Primates; Hominidae. The record is from RNAcentral.
GAAUAGAAUGUGUAUUCUAUGUGAGCUGUAGUGACUGUUAUCUCUAUUCUGGGUCUAGCCACCCAGCAAGUCUACCAGGCUCUGGGCUGGUACUGGGGAUUGUCUGCACACAGAGUCCUGUGAUGUGAACUGUCUAUGGGUUUCUCAGCCGAGGAUACCAGCACCCGUUCUGGUGUAGGUGGCAGGGAGGUGAAAUGCACUCUGUGAGGGUUCUUAGCCUUGGUGGUUUAAUGCUCUAUUUCUGUGCUGGUUGGCCUCCUGCCGGGAGGUGGCACAUUGCAGAGAGCAUCAGCUGUGAAGAGUAUAGAGAGGAACCGGCGGUGGGCGGGGCCCUAGAACUCCCAAGAUAUGCCCUUUGCCUUCAGCUACCAGGGUGGGUAGGGAAGGACCAUCAGGUGGGGGCAGGGCUAGGCGUGUCUGAGCUCAGACUCUCCUUGGGUGGGUCUUGCUGUGGCUGCUGUGGGGGAUGGGGGUAAGGUUCCCAGGUCAGUGGAGCUGUGGCUAGGAGGAUUAUGGCUGCCUUUGCUUAGUCAUGCAGGUUGUCGCAGAAGUGGGAGAAAACCGGCAGUCACAGGCCUCACCCAGCUCCCACACAAUCUGAAGGGUUGGUCUCACUCCCACUGUGCCACCCCUAACAGCACAGAGUCUGUUUCCAGGCAGUGGGCGAGCAGUGCUGAGAACUUGUCCCAGGCUACCUGCCUCCCAGCUGCAAAAGAGAAGGGCUUUAGUUCUUCUCCCACCUGUAGAGUCUGUAAGCUGGAUUCAUGCCCUCCCCCAAGUUCUGGCCAGGAGGCUUCUCGACCUCGGUUCAAAUUGUUACAAAGUUCAGCUGGAGAUUUCCUUCUCCCUGUGGCGUUUUCUCCGUGCCCCUGGCUGCCCUCCCAAAGGAUCCCUGUGAUGCUGGGCAGGAACGGCCUGUUUGGGUACCCAGCGAGCUCCCAGGGCCUUUCCAGCUGCUUCCUCUGCCCCUGCAUUUCACUCGGCUCUCUAAACUGACUCAGCUCCAGGCAAAGCUGUUUGCAUAUUAGCCCUGAAGCUUGUGCAGUGAGGCAGGAUAGAGGAAUGGGAACAGCUGGAGCCAGAGAGACCUGCUGGGAAUCUGGGCUCAGCCACUUUUGACCUGCAUGGUUUCUUGCAAGUCAGCUCAGAGCUGGACCAAAGCAGCUGUCGAUCCUUUGCCUCUUUGCACUUUGGAGCCCAGUCCUGAUGGGACCAGGUAAUCCAGGCAUGCAUCACUGCCAGACUGGCAAAUACCAACUCUUCAUUCAAGUGUUUUUCACUCAAGUGUUCCUAAAAAUAUCCAAGAGAAGAAGAGGACGGGCAGUUUUCUGGAAGGGCAGUUGUAAAACUUGAAGGAACAAAAUCUGUUAUCCUGUGGCUUAAAGAGGACUCUCUCUAGGAGACAUUUGUCAUGCUCUGGGCUUAUUCAGAGUCAGAAAUUGUCUCUGAUGGGAACCACACGAAAGAGUUGGGGACUCAGAAGAAUUACCUUCUGCUGAAGUUCACCUUAAAAAGUGUCAGAGCCCUGCCAAAUCUGUGAGAAGGGUGGAAGCAAGUUUCCCUGAGGGAAAAAAAAACAACAAAAAAAAACCUUCUGGAAUUGGGAAAAAUUUAGGUCAACAUCAUUUGAACCUUGACCUCUUGCUCUUUUGUCCCCGGGUGGACAUUUCCUUGACCUCCAGAAAUUCCUCCACCUCAAGGGAAGACUUCUUGCCCCCCUCACUUCCAGAGGCCUCCAAAGUGGGCUGGGAAGAGAUUUAAAGCAGGACCCUGGGAAGCAUGAUGAGACUCUGGAGUGUAGAGAGGCUUCCCUGCAAUGCAAAGAUCUUCAAAGGCCAAGCCCAAGGCACUGCAACCCCCAGGAGGGCCCACUCCAAAGCAGAACAGUGGAGGGAGAGCCUGCGUGUCAAGAAGCCUGGACAGCAAGACCCCCUACUGUGGCAGCCAGCCUGCUUGUAGGAGUCCUGAGAAGCCUAAUUCAAUUACCCUUAUCAGAAUGUCUCUGAACUUAACAAAGCAGAUAAUGAGUUCCAGAGACAGAUACUGCUUGGGGGGCCAAAAUUAUUUUGCUUCCCCAAAUUGGAGGCUGAAAUUGGAGAUGUUUGAAUAAUGGAAAACAUAAUCCUUCCCUAGGCCCAACCCCCUCCCAGUACCCACACCUGAGACACCCUUUCAACCAAGGAGCCUGGAUUCAACAUCCAUGCCGUCUCUCCUCCUGAAGACACCUGGUCAUGAACUCGACCUCUUUCCCCCACCAUCUUUGUGCCAUCGAUGGAAGGAAGCUGCGUACAGGAUGGAAGUGGGAGGGGAAAGGGAUUAACAUUUAUGGAGCCCUCCCCUCUAUGUGUCAGCUACAUAACACAUAGCAUUCAUUUCAACCACAGAACAUAUGUCUUUACAUUACAGAAGGCAACGGAGAACUGGAAAAGUUAACUUACUGCCUGAGGACCCAUCCCCAUCUCACCAGCAGCACAGUCAGAUUCAGACACAGGUAUUCAACUUUGCAACACACUGUGCCUCACGGCCUGUGUGCUCAACAUCAGAAAUCAAAUAGAAACUCCCUCAUUCUAAGAUUCAUAGCCAUCCUCCGAGAUAUGACAUAGCGACCUCUCCUCCGUGAACAGGGAAACAGACUGAGAGGAUAACCUAACUCUCCCAAGGCCAGAGUAUCCACUGGGAUAUGCAGCCAAGUCAGCCAGCAGUUGAAACAAGGGCUCUCUGUGCUAUCUCACAUCUGAAUUGAAUUGUUUCCUACAGACUUCUCAUAGCUCUCUAGGCAAGGAAUACAUCUUCUCACCUUCCCACACUAAGAAAGGCCUCUGUCUGAGCCUGGGUGCCGGGUGGCCAGGAUUCCUGCUGAACGUUCAGGAGCUUUCCAUCUCCAGAGGUGAGCUCCUAGUUCCUGCUUACCUUAGAACUGUAGAACAUAUAAUGUUACCACUGAAAAGAACCUCUCGUAUAGUUGGAUCACACCCUUUACCUAUUUAUUUAAAUGUACUGUUUUAAUUAUGUAACAUUUGAUAUGUGCAGGAUAAUAUGUAUGCAAAUUAUAAAGCAUAAUAAUAAAACCUGUGAACCCACCACUCAACCUUAGAACCAGACCAUUACAAUUGAUGUCCCUCCUACUUCCCCAACAGAAAUAACCACUGUCCGGGACUUUAUGUUUAUAGCCCCACCCCCCACAAUGAUUUUUAUAGUUUUGCCAAAUAUGUUAGCAUGGUAGAUUGCAUUAUUGCUCUGAGUUAAAUAUCCUUCCUUUGACAUAUAAUUUGGCAGUUCCUUCCAUUGGAAGUGAAAUACAUUUCUCUGCCCAAGAUGUUAGAUUUGCUUUGGUCAGUAGAAUGUUGCAGGCUGUGACGGUGAAAAUUCUGAGCCCAGGCCUUAAGAGGAAUCACCUGUUUCCACAUUCCCCACUUGUAUUUCUGCCUCUGCCAUGAGAAAAACAUGCUUCAGGUCACCUGCUGCUCCAAGGAGGAUGAGAGACCUAUGGGGAAGACCUGGACCCAAUCUGAAGUUAGAACUAAGUGCAACUGAGCCCAGCCUGGAUUAACCAACUCCCAGCCAAUCCACAGACACCUGGCUCUGCGAAGGCACGCGCUGAAAAUCACACAGCUGGAAAUGGUGAAUCCAAGCUGCCCAGUACCAGAGGGCGGGCACUUAACCCUCCACACACCCCAGUCUUUCCAGUAGAAACUACCUCAACAGGCUGUGGUAGGAGUUAGACGAGAUGACACAUAUGAAUCACUUGGACACCAUGUUCAGCAAGUGGGACCUCCUGACAGCAUAAGAAGUUCAGAGCUCAAAGACUUUAACCUGUCCAAACUUCAGCACUAAGGGAGACCGAUUAUGCUGUAUGACCUUGGGAAAAUCACCUCACUUCUGGGCCUCAGUUUCCACGCAUGUAAAAUGGGGAUAAAGAAACAACCCAGCUCCUGGGAUUGAUAUGAAGACUGCAUGAGAUGAUACGCAGGACACCCGUGGCACAAUGCAGGGCUUGCAGUAAGAGCUCAAUAAAUACCACCUGCUAUUUGUCUAUAAGUGUGUUUAGCAACAUCUUUGAAUGGAAUCAUAUUGUGCAUUACUUUUUGUAACUUUUUUUCACUCAUUUAGUGUGAUCAUUAAAUAUCCUUCGAG